UCCUCCGGCCAAGUGCUGAGCACUCAUACUUCACAUAGGGCCACCUUUACUGGGCCAGGGUCAGGGCACACCUAGCACCAAAUGGGCCCGUCGGCCUGGUCAUGGGGGAAAAAGUAGGCAGGAAGAGGAUCCAAGAAGUUUACCAGGCAACCCUGGGCCCGAAAUUCUGUCUCCCUUUCCUGGGACAUGAUGCCAAGUUGACCUUGGCCUUCAGUGUGCCCAAGAUCACCUUCACACCAGAGGGGUUGCAUUGCCUCCUCUCCUUGCCCAAGAAUGAAAGAUGAGUCCCUCAAAGCCUGGAAAUGGCUUGGCAGGGGAGCCAAGGCUGAGGAAGGAGCAGAGGGUACCAACCAGAGGCACCUGGCCAUGGGGGACAGGGGACCCCAGAGCGCAAGGACAUUAUUUUCAUUUGCUGCUUAGCCAUUUUACUUCUCUCUUCUCCUUUUUCCCUCUUCAUAUCUGCCCAAAUUCUACACUCCAAGAAACUUUCAGCAGCUUCCCUGAAAUAAACCAUAGUAUUGCGGCACUGAAGAGCUGGCUGGGCCUACAUCAAGUUGGUGUGAAAUCGCCUUGUUCAUUUUAUUAAGAAACUUCCUCUCUUGCCACCUGCCUGCUUGGAGGCCUUAACUGUUUUUUGGUUUUUGUUUUUCAUUUUUUUGAGACGGAGUCUCGCUCUGUCACCCAGGCUGGAGUGCAGUGCUGCAAUUUGGGCUCACUGCAACCUCCACCUCCCGGGCUCAGGCAAUUCUCCCGCCUCAGCCUCCCGAGUAGCUGGGAUUACAGAUGUUCACCACCACGCUUGGCUAAUUUUUGUAUUUUUAGUAGAGACGGAAUUUCACUAUGUUGGCCAGGCUGGUGUCGAACUCCUGACCUCAAGUGAUCCACCUGCUUUGGCCUCCCGAAAUGCUGGGAUUACGGGCAUCAGCCACUGUGCCCGGCCUGUUUUUCUAUCCAACACGGAUAGAGUACAGCCUCCCUGCCCCCUUCCUCCCCAAAGUAGGCUCAGUUUAAAUAUAUACAUGAAAACAAAUAAAAUUCAAAGAAAAGCAAGGUUAUGGGGUGGCAAGCAGUAUGAUCCAAUGGAAGCUCCCCGUCUCUGCAUGUGAGCCCUCGCACUGAGAACGCGAUCAGGCUGAUGAGGAAACCAAGACACAGAGAGAGAACACGACUUGCCUGAGGUCACACAAGAAGGAGAGCAAGGGCCAGAGGAUUGAGUGAUUUCACCCAGCCAGCCGCUGAGUGGCUGGGAUUCAAACUCAUGGCCAUGACUCCAUGCCUGAGGUUUGACACUGGAGUCAGCCACACCUGCCUCUAACCAGGAGAUCCUUGAGGGCAUCCCUCAAGAAUCCUGAUAUGUUUCCAUAUCAACCCCCUGUGGCACAUAGUAUUUUCUAAAGACAAUCAUCACAGUAUCUUCCAUCCCACAUGAUCUUCCUACUAUGUGACGGUGACACCCCUCUGUGACUACAACAGAAGUGACAUUAUAUGACUCCCAAGGCAAGGGCCUGAAACAGAUGAUAACGCUUCCACUUGCCUCUCUUGAAAUGCUCACUCAUGGAACCCUGUGCCAUGCCACUAGGAAGCCCAGGCUACAAGGAAUGGUCUCAGGUAGGUGUUCCAGCUGACAAUUGCAGCUGAGGUUCCAGCUGACAGCCAGCGUCCAGUGCCAGCCAUAUGUUCAAGAAAGACUUCUAGACAAUUUCAACCACCACCAUGAUCUGACUGCAACUGUAUGGGAAACGCUGUGCAAGACCUGCCCUCGAUGAGCCCUGAAGACCCCGGAAGUGUGAGGGAUAAGUUUUGGGGUGAUCUGCGAUGCGACAUAAAUAACUGGAACACCCUCCCUCCCCCAGUUCUCACACACCUCUGGCCCAGCCAGAUCCCUGAACAGCUGGUGCUCCUUCAAUGUGUCUUUCAUUCACAAGCACACUGACAUGCACGGGCAAACCUGGGUAUUCUGAUCCAUUUGUCCAAACAGCCUGGACUGUGAAAAUAAACACCCAGAUGGCAGGUGUUGACACACAUACCCUGACAUGGGUCUAUUUCGGGGACUUCAGGCCUCCCACUGUGCACUGAGAGGUCUCCACCUGGGCAGGGAAAGACUUUGCCGUUUAACAUUUUGCAGUCUUGUGUUGGGUGUGGAAUGAGGAUAAAGCAUGUAGAAUCAA
Molecule: long non-coding RNA, 2168 nt
Organism: Symphalangus syndactylus (siamang)
Lineage: Eukaryota; Metazoa; Chordata; Mammalia; Primates; Hylobatidae
Source: RefSeq, a predicted model, not a curated record